Antechinus flavipes (yellow-footed antechinus) is the source of this 991-nucleotide long non-coding RNA. RefSeq lists it as uncharacterized. The record is from RefSeq and is a predicted model, not a curated record. The transcript has 2 exons. NCBI's taxonomy places the organism in Eukaryota, Metazoa, Chordata, Mammalia, Dasyuromorphia, Dasyuridae.
GUUGCCUGGAGCUUUAAAAGCUAAAUAAAGGAAUUUCUAUUCUGUUCUAGAGGGAAUAGGAAGCCACAGGAAUUUCUUGAAUAAGAGAAUGAAAAUGGUCCUAUCUACAUGUAAGGAAAAUACCAAAAAUUGGUAUCUGUAUGGAGGCUAUGGAGGCUCCCGGAGCCAGAGAGGGUGUUUACAACCCAUCAAGGAAUGGCACCGACUCCCUGAAGCCUUCCUGGGUUGAUCCGAAGAAAACUGAUCAUCUCUUCUUAACUCAUGCCGUCUAGAUCUGGAAUUCUCCUCCCCGCCCGUGCCCAGCCACUCUCUCACAUCUCAGUCCUUCGCUCUCCUCACUUCGUUCUCUGUUGUCCAAAUGCACCAACCCCUAAGCUCUCCAGAAUGGAGUCACUCCACAGAUCAAUCAAGACUGGGGAACAGAAAGAGAGGUGCCACCGGAAAGCCAGAACCAGGCACUGGAUUCCCAGUGCUCUUUAAUAAACAUCCACCGGGAAAGAGCAUCUGCACCCAGACAGAGAACUGUGGGGACUGAGUGGGGAUCACAACAUUGUAUUUUCACUUAUUUUGUUGUUGUUGUUUGCCUGCAUUUUGUUUUCUUUCUCAUUUUUUCUCCUUUUGAUCUGAUUUUUCUCAUGCAGUGUGAUAAUUGUGGAAAUCUGUAUUGAAGAAUUGCACAUGUUUAACCUAUGUUGGAGUACUUGCCAUCUAGGGGAGGGGUGAGGGAAAGUGAGGGGAAAAAACUUGGAACACAGGGCUUUGCAAGAAUCAAUGUUGAAAACUAUGCAUGUGUUUUGAAAAUAAAAAACUUUAGGGGAAGCUAGAUGGUGCAGUGGAUAGAUUGCUGGCCCUGACAGGAGGACCUGAGUUCAAAUGUGACCUCAGACAUUUAACACUUCCUGGCUAGGUGACCCUGGGCAAGUCACUUAACCCCAAUUGUCUCAGCAAAAUAAAUAAAUAAAAAUAAAAAGCUUUAGAAAAAUAAAAUAAA